RNAcentral lists this ribosomal RNA (506 nucleotides) under uncultured bacterium. Its description in RNAcentral is "bacterial SSU rRNA". It matches the Rfam family "Bacterial small subunit ribosomal RNA", at positions 874 to 1379 of the family's 1533-position model. The record is from RNAcentral.
UGGGGAGUACGGCCGCAAGGCUAAAACUCAAAGGAAUUGACGGGGACCCGCACAAGCGUGGAUGAUGUGGAUUAAUUCGAUGCAACGCGAAAAACCUUACCUACCCUUGACAUGUCAGGAAUCCUGGAGAGAUCUGGGAGUGCUCGCAAGAGAACCUGAACACAGGUGCUGCAUGGCUGUCGUCAGCUCGUGUCGUGAGAUGUUGGGUUAAGUCCCCGCAACGAGCGCAACCCUUGUCAUUAAUUGCCAUCAUUCAGUUGGGCACUUUAAUGAGACUGCCGGUGACAAACCGGAGGAAGGUGGGGAUGACGUCAAGUCCUCAUGGCCCUUAUGGGUAGGGCUUCACACGUCAUACAAUGGUCGGUUCAGAGGGUUGCCAACCCGCGAGGGGGAGCCAAUCUCAGAAAGCCGAUCGUAGUCCGGAUCGCAGUCUGCAACUCGACUGCGUGAAGUCGGAAUCGCUAGUAAUCGCGGAUCAGCAUGUCGCGGUGAAUACGUUCCCGGGC